UAACCUGCCCAAGAGACUGGGAUAACACCUGGAAACAGAUGCUAAUACCGGAUAACAACACUAGACGCAUGUCUAGAGUUUAAAAGAUGGUUCUGCUAUCACUCUUGGAUGGACCUGCGGUGCAUUAGCUAGUUGGUAAGGUAACGGCUUACCAAGGCAAUGAUGCAUAGCCGAGUUGAGAGACUGAUCGGCCACAUUGGGACUGAGACACGGCCCAGACUCCUACGGAAGGCAGCAG
This 238-nucleotide ribosomal RNA is filed under the name uncultured bacterium. RNAcentral describes it as "partial 16S ribosomal RNA". It matches the Rfam family "Bacterial small subunit ribosomal RNA", at positions 122 to 354 of the family's 1533-position model. The record is from RNAcentral.